This 486-nucleotide ribosomal RNA is filed under the name uncultured Corynebacterium sp. RNAcentral's name for it is "bacterial SSU rRNA". It matches the Rfam family "Bacterial small subunit ribosomal RNA", at positions 8 to 507 of the family's 1533-position model. The record is from RNAcentral. Lineage: Bacteria; Bacillati; Actinomycetota; Actinomycetes; Mycobacteriales; Corynebacteriaceae.
AGAGUUUGAUCCUGGCUCAGGAUGAACGCUGGCGGCGUGCUUAACACAUGCAAGUCGAACGGAAAGGCUCCUGCUUGCAGGGGUACUCGAGUGGCGAACGGGUGAGUAACACGUGGGUGAUCUGCCCUGCACUUCGGGAUAAGCCUGGGAAACUGGGUCUAAUACCGGAUAGGACGAUGGUUUGGAUGCCAUUGUGGAAAGUUUUUCGGUGUGGGAUGAGCUCGCGGCCUAUCAGCUUGUUGGUGGGGUAAUGGCCUACCAAGGCGUCGACGGGUAGCCGGCCUGAGAGGGUGUACGGCCACAUUGGGACUGAGAUACGGCCCAGACUCCUACGGGAGGCAGCAGUGGGGAAUAUUGCACAAUGGGCGCAAGCCUGAUGCAGCGACGCCGCGUGGGGGAUGACGGCCUUCGGGUUGUAAACUCCUUUCGCUAGGGACGAAGCGUUUUGUGACGGUACCUGGAGAAGAAGCACCGGCUAACUACGUG